CAUCACAUUUUUAUUCUCUCAUAUUCAGAAGAAAAAAAUAGUGGUAGAAUGAUAUUUCUGAAUCUGUCAUUUAUAAAUUGUAGUUUGGGAGAAAUUGAAAUAAGUUACAUGGGGGUGAGGAAGAGACAAGUGAGAUCUUAAUAAUUAAAUAUUAAGUUGGGGUGGGCCAGGGGGAAGCAUCAGAAGGUGAGUAGAAAUACAGAAGUAAAUUGGGUGUUUCCACCAAAUACCAAGCCAUAUAUCUAAGGAGAGACCAUCACUUCUUAUUCACGAUGUAAUUAAGUGGAACCAUGUGAAACUGCUGAUAGUCAACCAUCUUUGACCUACAAAAAUGGUCAUGGGUGUGGUUUGACCUAUAAACUAUUGGAAACAAGGUAUAUUUGUAAAAUAUAUUUUAAAAAGCACACUAAAUUAUCCCAUGGCUUGUUACAGAGAACAAGAAAAACAAUAAUCAAAAAAAAAGUUUUUUAAAAACACUAUAGUCAACUCCUUAACGUCAAAUACCUAUGGGUUUUUAAUACAAAAUACUCUAUAUGCUUGGGGAUGAUGUUUGCAAGGGUUUUUUUGGAAAGAAAAUAAGCUAGUUAAGAAGGCAUUUUCUAUUAGCUCCAAAGGAAUGUAACACCAGGCAGUUUUUUUCAUUUUUAAGGAUCUGAAGGACGCUAACUAUAGGAAAGAUCAAGAACAGCCACGUGCUGGUCCUCCACCACCCUAUAGCAAGCAGUCCAUGGAUGUCUGCAAGCAAGCAUUGGGGCCUGGCUGUGCCAUCCUUACCCUGGCCCACCCCUGGGCACAAGUGGGAUGUGGACUCUGAACAGAACCACCAGUGUAUUAUUUCUGCCACUUCUCAUCCAUCAUUUCUGGGUCAUUUGAGACCAGCUUUCUGUGUUUGCUAACAGAUCUUAAUAUAUAUAUAGGAAUAUCAUACAUAUAUAUAUAUACACACAUAUAUAUCAUCCAGCCUUAUAAAGGAGACUCUGCCAUUUGCAACGACACAGAUGAACCCGAAGAGGACAUUAUGCCAAGUGAAAUAAGCCAGACACAGAAAAAUACUGCAUGAUCUUAGUUACAUGUGGAGCCUAGAAUAGUAAGCCCACUGGUUACCACGUGGGGAAAAUAGGGAGAUGUUGGUUAAAGGAUAUAAAAUUGCAGUCUACAGGAUGAAUGAGGAAAGCUAAUGUACAACAUUAUGACUGUAACUAGUAAUACUGUAUUGAAAACGAAAUCUAAGAAAAUAGAUUUCACGUGCUCUGACCACACAACACACACAGGUAACUGUAGGAGGAGAUGGAUAUGUUAAUUUGCUUGACUCUAGUAUCCUAUCAUUAUGUAUAUCAAAACACCAAGUUGUACAUCUUAAAUAUAUACAAUUAAAUGAUAAAACAGGAACAAUGUUUUUAGCCUUGAAACUGAAGUUUGAGCAGGGCUCAGUAGGGAAGCACUCUUCCUUCUCCCAGUUAGUGUUAACUAGGGCUGCUCAGUGUUGAAUCUACAGAAGGCUCAUUCACUCAUGUGUCUGGUGGUUAAUACUAGCUGUCAGCUUUAGCUGGGCUGUUGCCUUGAACAUCAUCAUGUAGACUCUCCAUAUGUUCUGGGCAUUCUUCCAAAAUGGUGGCUCUCACCAUUUAUCACUCACGCCAAGUUUAAUUGUCUCAAGAAAGAGCUGGGUGGAAACCAUCACCUUUUCUCCUUACUCUGCAGCUUAGCAAGUAGCCUUGAAAAUAACAACCCACAUUCUAGGUACCUCAGGGAGCAGAGUGGACUCCAUUCACAAAGAAUUGUCAUUACUUGAACUGUCUGGUGGCUCUGUGGGAAAACAAAUAGAAGCUUUACCUGUUUGUACCUCAGAAUUCCUCCAGUGCUACAGCUGCUGCACAGGUGGGGUUUGUUGAAAUAUUUACAGGGAAAUAUUUUAGUUGCUGCUGCAAGGGGUGAUAACAGGGCAAACAGUAUAUUGAUGAAAAAGCUUGUAAGAAAAGACAGAAAUACAGUGUCCAUAAAGGCUUUGAAAAGUUCUUGACAUGGAAAUUUAGAAGGCCACACACAUGCACAGGGCUGUGUGCAUGCUUAGGAAGGCCCAAGAAGGCCCUAAGCUAUCCCCUCUGGCUGACCUUGAGGCUCUAUAAAAGCAGAAAGUGAAACCUAAGGCACAGUUGUAAACUGCCUGAUUGAGUACUGAAGGUAUGCCUCAACCCACACAUCAAGCCCCUUGGCAAAAGCCAGUAUUUUGUGGGUUCCAGGCAUUUAAGGAAAUCUCUGUGCGAUUAACUGAUCACUAAGCCAACUAAGAAAUUGCAGUGGUUUCACAUAGGAAGGGAUACAGCUUUACAGGAUUAGUUCGGAAAAGUCACUAAAUAACAGACCCUAAGAUGAGAGAAAGAAACCCAGGUUUGCCACAUAAUAAUAUAUCCAUUUCUCUAAAAACAGUGCAUGCUAUGAAACAAAGUAUGACUCCUCAAAACAAAACAAAA
Long non-coding RNA from Herpailurus yagouaroundi (jaguarundi), 2471 nucleotides. RefSeq lists it as uncharacterized. The record is from RefSeq and is a predicted model, not a curated record. Lineage: Eukaryota; Metazoa; Chordata; Mammalia; Carnivora; Felidae. The transcript has 2 exons.